CAAGGUUUGACAUGGCCGGAAAACUCGCAGAGAUGCGGGGUCCUUCGGGGCCGGUCACAGGUGGUGCAUGGCUGUCGUCAGCUCGUGUCGUGAGAUGUUGGGUUAAGUCCCGCAACGAGCGCAACCCUCGUCCCAUGUUGCCAGCAUUCAGUUGGGGACUCAUGGGAGACUGCCGGGGUCAACUCGGAGGAAGGUGGGGAUGACGUCAAGUCAUCAUGCCCCUUAUGUCUUGGGCUGCAAACAUGCUACAAUGGCCGGUACAAAGCGCUGCGACACCGUGAGGUGAAGCGAAUCGCAUAAGGCCGGUCUCAGUUCGGAUCGGGGUCUGCAACCCGGCCCCGUGAAGCCGGAGUCGCUAGUAAUCGCGGAUCAGCAACGCCGCGGUGAAUACGUUCCC
This 397-nucleotide ribosomal RNA is filed under the name uncultured Actinomycetes bacterium. RNAcentral's name for it is "bacterial SSU rRNA". It matches the Rfam family "Bacterial small subunit ribosomal RNA", at positions 975 to 1375 of the family's 1533-position model. Lineage: Bacteria; Bacillati; Actinomycetota; Actinomycetes. The record is from RNAcentral.